GACGAACGCUGGCGGCGUGCUUAACACAUGCAAGUCGAACGGAAAGGCCCUGCUUGCAGGGUACUCGAGUGGCGAACGGGUGAGUAACACGUGGGUGAUCUGCCCUGCACUUCGGGAUAAGCCUGGGAAACUGGGUCUAAUACCGGAUAGGAGCCAUUUUUAGUGUGAUGGUUGGAAAGUUUUUUCGGUGUAGGAUGAGCUCGCGGCCUAUCAGCUUGUUGGUGGGGUAAUGGCCUACCAAGGCGGCGACGGGUAGCCGGCCUGAGAGGGUGGACGGCCACAUUGGGACUGAGAUACGGCCCAGACUCCUACGGGAGGCAGCAGGGGGGAAUAUUGCACAAUGGGCGCAAGCCUGAUGCAGCGACGCCGCGUGGGGGAUGACGGCCUUCGGGUUGUAAACUCCUUUCGCUAGGGGCGAAGCUUUUUGUGACGGUACCUAGAUAAGAAGCACCGGCUAACUACGUG
Molecule: ribosomal RNA, 465 nt
Filed under: uncultured bacterium
Lineage: Bacteria
Description: partial 16S ribosomal RNA
Rfam family: Bacterial small subunit ribosomal RNA
Source: RNAcentral